CCUACGGGAGGCUGCAGUGAGGAAUAUUGGUCAAUGGACGAGAGUCUGAACCAGCCAAGUAGCGUGAAGGAUGACUGCCCUAUGGGUUGUAAACUUCUUUUAUAUGGGAAUAAAACGUUCCACGUGUGGGAUUUUGUAUGUACCAUAUGAAUAAGGAUCGGCUAACUCCGUGCCAGCAGCCGCGGUAAUACGGAGGAUCCGAGCGUUAUCCGGAUUUAUUGGGUUUAAAGGGAGCGUAGGUGGAUUGUUAAGUCAGUUGUGAAAGUUUGCGGCUCAACCGUAAAAUUGCAGUUGAAACUGGCAGUCUUGAGUACAGUAGAGGUGGGCGGAAUUCGUGGUGUAGCGGUGAAAUGCUUAGAUAUCACGAAGAACUCCGAUUGCGAAGGCAGUUCACUGGACUGCAACUGACACUGAGGCUCGAAAGUGUGGGUAUCAAACAGGAUGAGAUACCCGUGUAGUC
Molecule: ribosomal RNA, 460 nt
Filed under: uncultured bacterium
Lineage: Bacteria
Description: partial 16S ribosomal RNA
Rfam family: Bacterial small subunit ribosomal RNA
Source: RNAcentral